AACGAACGGUGGCGGCGUGGAUAAGACAUGCAAGUCGAACGGGACUUUACUUGUAGCAAUACAGGUGAAGUUCAGUGGCGUAAGGGUGCGUAACACGUGGGCAAUCUGCCCGAGGGCGCGGGAUAGCUCGACGAAAGUCGAAUUAAUACCGCAUACGGCUAUUGAGGACAUCCUCGAAAUGCUAAAGACGGCGCAAGCUGUCACUCUCGGAUGAGCCCGCGGCCUAUCAGCUAGUUGGCGGGGUAACGGCCCACCAAGGCUAUGACGGGUAGCUGGUCUGAGAGGACGACCAGCCACACUGGAACUGAGACACGGUCCAGACACCUACGGGUGGCAGCAGUCGAGAAUUUUUCUCAAUGGGGGAAACCCUGAAGGAGCGACGCCGCGUGGAGGAUGAAGGUCUUCGGAUUGUAAACUCCUGUCAUUUGGGAACAAACCUUCCGUUUUACUGGCGGAAGACUGAUAGUACCAGAAGAGGAAGAGACGGCUAACUCUGUGCCAGCAGCCGCCGUAAAA
RNAcentral lists this ribosomal RNA (516 nucleotides) under uncultured bacterium. RNAcentral's name for it is "bacterial SSU rRNA". It matches the Rfam family "Bacterial small subunit ribosomal RNA", at positions 29 to 525 of the family's 1533-position model. The record is from RNAcentral.